Numida meleagris (helmeted guineafowl) is the source of this 3575-nucleotide long non-coding RNA. RefSeq lists it as uncharacterized. The transcript is spliced from 2 exons. NCBI's taxonomy places the organism in Eukaryota, Metazoa, Chordata, Aves, Galliformes, Numididae. The record is from RefSeq and is a predicted model, not a curated record.
GUAUAGCUGGCUGCUGUAUAGUGUCAGGGCAGCCAUGAGUAAGCAGAGAGCACUAUGUAACCUCAGACAAAGGUAGCAGCUGUGCUACCUCUGUUUCCACUGUUUGUUUCUAGCAGUAACCAAGUUUUGAGCUGGUCACCCAACGUGUGUGAAGGAAUAAAUCAUUGGAUACAUUCAUAUGUCAGGAGAAAAAAUACCAUUGUAUUUUGAAACCAUCCAGGAGGUCAUAAACCAAAUUAUGUUCUACAGCACCAUAAAAAUUUCUUCACACAGAGCAAGGGCAGCACAGAAAAAGCAAGUCUCUGUGUAUCCAUAAAUACUUAAUCACAGUCUAUUCUUUUUCAAGGAGGGAUUUACAUGAAACACUUUAGAGUCAGAACACAGAAAACCAUCCUUGGAGAUUACUUCCAGCUUCAGGAUCAGUUCAAAAUGAGGGGACUGGUUACAAGAAUCAAGGUCUCCUAGUAGAAUGGACACAUCUUAGCAGGUGGCUGUUCAGCCAGCAGGAUUACAGAUACUUCUCUGGGAAAUAAAACGUUCCCUCACAAACGAGGUACCAGUUAUGGAGGCCUGCCUUGAUCUGAGAGAUCUGCCUGCCUACAGCACAAGCUACUCAGGAGAAAAGGAGCUAAGUCUUCCUAUUUAAAUAUUUUUAUGGGGGAAAAAUCAGGUUUAUUUUUAAUUUUUCUUUUCAUGCAGUUUCUCUAUUUUUCAAAGUUGCAUUUGAGGUGUGGGAGGAGAUUACUUCCAGAGAAAAUUUCCCUGCUCUGCUAAUAAAUGAUAUCCAAGCAACGUGUGAUCCCACCACAGAUGUGUCAGCUUUAUAAAGGAAUGUGCGAGGAUAUCAUGUUUCUUAGUUAUUUUAAGACUUCCAGAAUUACAAAGCCAUCCUACUUAUAAAAAAGCAUGUGCAGGCACAGCCUUAUUUUUGUAGUGGAACCCACAUCUAAGGAGAAAGCUGAAUGAAAGAGCACAAAUAUAAAAGCAACCUGCACCAUUUCAAAUAAAUUCUGCACUAAAGACCUGAUCUCAUUUGUACCAGUGUGAGUACACUGAAGUCAGUCAAAUUACACAGACGUAAACAAGGAGAUGCAGAACCAAACCCUAGAUAUCCUUGUCCCUUGCACCAUAACACACAGGCAAAGCUAAUUUUCUGUGGGAGUGGCUGCUAUUAUAUUCUCUGAUAUAUAAAUCAGAGACUUGGAGACACGGCAGCUCAGCUGACAAGCAGAACAGGUUUCAGUAUGCUAUUUCAGACCUUUCUGCCACAAAAUUGUCUGUGGGACAAAGUAAAAAAUGAAGAAACUGAAUUCUACUCUUAUGUGAUUUCAGUUCUCAGUCCUGACAUAAAACAUGAUCUCUACAUUCACUUUUGGAGAUUUUGCCAAAAGCUUGCAGAUUUUACAGUCUUUAUGAGGAGUGAGAGCAUGCAAGAAUCCAUUUACCAAAUAUUUUCUGCAGGAUAGGGCCUUAGUUUUUAUGCAGCAGGAUAAUCUUUAAUGUGGGUACCCAUCUUUUCUGAAUAAAGGUCACACAAGAGCAACAGAAAGAUUAGCAAUGCAUCAUUUUAGACUAUAGUCUUAAGUAAUCCUUGACUACAAAAUGCUUCUCUGGUACAAUUUACUUUGCUACACACUGUUGCCCAAAGUUCCCAGUCACUUGAACAUAAAACCUUUAUCCAUUAAGAAUGGGUUCAAAGCAUUUUCCCAUGUCAUGGGCAGGACAAUUGAAGUGACGCAUUUUAAGCAGUGAUCUGAUUGCUGAUUUAUCAUCCUGAAGACUGCCAAACCUAUGCACCCAUUGCUUGGGUUUACAUCAGGGAUGUUUACAACAUAAACAAUACCAGAUGCAAGCCAGCUCUGCCCCAUGCUCCAAGCCUGAAAAGGAUAAUGGUGCAUUAUCGUCUCACCAAGUCUAAGGUGAUAUACCCUACCAUUGCAUCUUGUCUCUCUGAACAGGCUUAAUUAGCUUAGUCUCAAGCACUGUACUGGCAUGAUCCAUGCUAUUUUCUGCUGAACAGGAGGCUGAGGGCUCCUGGCAGAAGCAGCAGUGGAGAAAGACACAGAAGAUACUCCCACCUCACAGAGAAUCCUCUGAAGCAUGGCAGCAAGGGAUGCCUAAGGAAGGAGCUCUCCUCUGGCAAGAGAGAAGAGAAAAUUCCCCAAGACAAUGUCAUCUCUGUUCACUCUUCAGCAAGCAACAGGCCCAAGUCUCAUCCAUUCCAGGACUUAUUUUACGUGCCCUCAUUGCAAUUUGAUUAACAAUCAAUUACAAACUAAGUUUUUAUGUAGACUGAGGGCAUGGAAAUUUCAGGCCUCUACUUACAUGAAUUCUUUAUAGUCAAAUAUUUAUUUGCAGUAAGUAUUUGAGAGAAAGCCAAGGAAGCACACAUGUUCACAGAGCUUGCUGUCUACACUGCGUUUCAGCCUUAGUCAAGGAGAAACUAAGAUGCAAUUGCAUAGAGUUGUCCUAUCCACUUUCUUCCUUCUGAUUUCUAGAUUUAUAAAAUAGAAGGCCAGUUAACUGCACUUAAGGACCUAGGCUGCUCAUUUAUAAAAUACCAACUGUAAAAUUUCAUUCAGUCACCCUUUAUUGAACCCAACAACAUGCAACUGAGGUAUAACUUUUUUCUAGCGGAAGGUUACCUCCUCUAAAAAUAAGAAGUACUGUUUAAAAGAAAUCUCUCAUCUUCUUCAUUUAUUCCAUUGCAAUUUGCUUUCUGUAACAAAAGUAGACAACAGAGAGGCAAAUCAAAAUUAUUUGAAUAUACUUGUAAAUUUCAAAUAUAUUGCCCCUCAGCCUUCUUUUGCUAAGCUAUGUAGCCCAAAUUAUUUCAAGAUUUUCACUGUACCUACAGCCCAGCAGUGGCUUUUGUAGCUGUUGUCAUACCAUUUUCAUUCUGCAUUUUAGAGGCACACUAGACGUGAACAGUCUUGCAGUAUCAGUCCCAUUUCACUUUUUCCUCCUCAUCUUCACUGUUCCUCUAACAACAACGUCAGCCUUCCUUACCACAGCCCGAGGCAUGGAAAGAUACAGACCAACCCCUACGCUUUUGCAGACUCGCUGCUGCUUCAGGUUUCUCAUUAAAGGGACUGCCUACAGAGCCUGGGUCUGAACCAACAAGUUUAUAUUUGACUGCAUUAGCAAAAUGUGUGUUAACAGGCCUGCUGUACUAAAGCAUCCUGAUUUCUCCUUCCAUUUUCUAUGUUCUCAUCAUUGAUUAACACUCUGCCUAUCUUCCUAACAAAAUAUCACUGCUAUUUACAGUAUGAGAACAUUUGCAUCUAGAUCACUAAUGAAAAAACAGAAUAACAUAAGACUUGGUAAUAAUCUAGUACAUGGAAUAUGCUCAAAACAAUUCCAGUUGGUGAGGCUACCCUUUUGAUCCAGCUUUUAAUCCACGUGCUAUUUACUUUAAUGAUAUCAGUGUGCUAGUUUUAAAUCAGAAUAUUAUGUGGUACUCAUACUGAUAUUUUGCUGAUACUUUUUAAUGAAUCUGAUUUGAAUAAGAUUUUCUUAACAUUAUUUAUUUAUUUCAAAAUCAUGGUGACUGCCAUUAAAUAUAUUUGCUAUCA